RNAcentral lists this ribosomal RNA (783 nucleotides) under uncultured Neocallimastigales. RNAcentral describes it as "partial large subunit ribosomal RNA". It matches the Rfam family "Eukaryotic large subunit ribosomal RNA", at positions 22 to 647 of the family's 3401-position model. The record is from RNAcentral. Lineage: Eukaryota; Fungi; Neocallimastigomycota; Neocallimastigomycetes; Neocallimastigales.
CAUAGCGACUAUCGUGGCAUAUCAAUAAGCGGAGGAAAAGAAACUAACAAGGAUUCCCUUAGUAACGGCGAGUGAAGCGGGAAGAGCUCAAAUUUGAAAUCUUCAAGGGUUCUACCUUUACGAAUUGUAGUUUAUAGAAGUGUUUUCUGUUAGUAGAGUCGGCUAAAAGUUCUUUGGAAUAGGACAUCAUAGAGGGUGAGAAUCCCGUAUUUGUACAGUUACUUUCUAGCUGUGUGAUACACUUUCAACGAGUCGGAUUGUUUGGGAAUGCAGUCCAAAAUGGGUGGUAAAUUUCAUCUAAAGCUAAAUAUUGGCGAGAGACCGAUAGCGAACAAGUACCGUGAGGGAAGGAUGAAAAGAACUUUGAAAAGAGAGUUAAACAGUACGUGAAAUUGUCAAAAGGGAAGCGUUUGACACCAGUGUUGUUUAGUUGAAAAUCAAUUCAAUAAUUUUUGAUUCUGAGUAGUAUUGACUUCAUCAGCUUGCUGCUUUCUUCUCAGAAAUUAUUGAAUGCACUUUUCAGUUAACAAGUCAACAUCAAUUUCUUUUGUUGUAAAAGGGUAAGAGGAAGGUGGCUUACGCUUCGGCGUCAAGUGUUUAUAGCCUUUUAUCUCUGCAAUCGGAGAGAUUGAGGUACAUGCAGCGUAGACUCCUUCGGGGUUAGAUACACUUGUGCUAAGCUAUAGCCUUGUAUAGACAACUUGUUGACUAUGCUCAGUCAUGUAGCUUACUCGCUGAUGCUAUUUUACCUACGCUUAGGAUGUUGACGAGACUGUCGAUCUC